GGGCUUGUAGCUCAGUGGUAGUAGCGCUCGCUUUGCAUUGUUUGCAUAUUUGCGAGAGGUCAGGGGUUCAAUCCCCCUCGAGUCCA
RNAcentral lists this transfer RNA (86 nucleotides) under Aspergillus alliaceus. RNAcentral describes it as "tRNA-Ala". It matches the Rfam family "tRNA". Rfam says of the family: Transfer RNA (tRNA) molecules are approximately 80 nucleotides in length. Their secondary structure includes four short double-helical elements and three loops (D, anti-codon, and T loops). Further hydrogen bonds mediate the characteristic L-shaped molecular structure. tRNAs have two regions of fundamental functional importance: the anti-codon, which is responsible for specific mRNA codon recognition, and the 3' end, to which the tRNAs corresponding amino acid is attached (by aminoacyl-tRNA synthetases). tRNAs cope with the degeneracy of the genetic code in two manners: having more than one tRNA (with a specific anti-codon) for a particular amino acid; and 'wobble' base-pairing, i.e. permitting non-standard base-pairing at the 3rd anti-codon position. Lineage: Eukaryota; Fungi; Ascomycota; Eurotiomycetes; Eurotiales; Aspergillaceae. The record is from RNAcentral.